This is a long non-coding RNA of Hirundo rustica (Barn swallow), 739 nucleotides long. RefSeq lists it as uncharacterized. The transcript is spliced from 4 exons. NCBI's taxonomy places the organism in Eukaryota, Metazoa, Chordata, Aves, Passeriformes, Hirundinidae. The record is from RefSeq and is a predicted model, not a curated record.
GGGAGACUGGCCUAACAGGGGUAACUGGUCUCCCAAGAUUGCAGGCAGCCUGCAGAUGGAUCCCUCCACUGUGGCAGGGGCACCAGCAAGUCUAUUUCAGAACUCCUAGACAGACAUUUUCCAUAGGGUAAAAACUGAUGGACAGUAUCAUAGAAUUGGGAGAAAUAACCAAAUGACUCUACCUUAUGAAGAGACUGAAAAGAAAAAAGGUCAUAUUACUUCCAUGAAUCUUUCGAGGCAAGCGUGUGUCGCCCAAAAGGAGAACUACUGAUCAGCUCACUGCAGUGUUAUUGGCUCCACUUAAGAGUCUCAGUUCUGCUGCUGCUCUCUUGAUUCCCCACCAGCAGUAUAAGGUGGAUUAGACUGUAGAUCCAGGUGCUCAGUCAUUUUUCUAGACUGGGUCAGCAAGGGUUGCUGCAUGCCGUGUUUCUCAUGAAGAACAGUUUUACAGUACUGGGUAAACAGUGAGAUUUACCACAUUAUCUACACACCUUUGUGCAGCUCUCUGUAUUUUUCCAUCAAGCUUCCUUAGCAGUGCUAAAAUCCAGAUUUCAUGCAUGUAAAUCUUUCCAUUUUGUUAGAGAGAUGCCAAUUUGACUCUAGAAUUUUUGGCUGCAUUUUUAAAAUAAAGGUUCUGCAGAAAUCCUGCUAAAGAAGGAGAUGGUACAGAAUGCAAUGCUUUGCUGAUCACUGUGCUUUAUGUGCAGAAUAAAGAAAUCAUCCCUUUUCAUGUAAUAAA